RNAcentral lists this ribosomal RNA (253 nucleotides) under uncultured bacterium. Its description in RNAcentral is "partial 16S ribosomal RNA". It matches the Rfam family "Bacterial small subunit ribosomal RNA", at positions 524 to 776 of the family's 1533-position model. The record is from RNAcentral.
UACGAACUGUGCAAACGUUAUUCGGAAUCACUGGGCUUAAAGGGUGCGUAGGCGGCUUGUUAAGCAGGGUGUGAAAGCCCUCGGCUCAACCGAGGAAUUGCGCCCUGAACUGGCGAGCUGGAGUGAGGCAGGGGUGUGUGGAACUUCCGGUGGAGCGGUGAAAUGUGUUGAUAUCGGAAGGAACGCCUGUGGCGAAAGCGACACACUGGGUCUCAACUGACGCUGAGGCACGAAAGCCAGGGGAGCGAACGGG